Molecule: ribosomal RNA, 787 nt
Filed under: uncultured bacterium
Lineage: Bacteria
Description: bacterial SSU rRNA
Rfam family: Bacterial small subunit ribosomal RNA
Source: RNAcentral
GAUUCGCCCUUGUGCCAGCAGCCGCGGUAAUUCAGAGGUCCCGAGCGUUGUUCGGAUUUACUGGGCGUAAAGGGAGCGUAGGCGGUUCGGUAUGUCGAAUGUGAAAGCCCACAACUCAACUGUGGAAAUGCAUUCGAAACUGCCGGGCUAGAGUACUGGAGAGGAGAGCGGAAUUCUUGGUGUAGCGGUGAAAUGCGUAGAUAUCAAGAGGAACACCGGUGGCGAAGGCGGCUCUCUGGACAGAUACUGACGCUGAGGCUCUAAAGUUAGGGGAGCAAACAGGAUUAGAUACCCUGGUAGUCCUAACCUUAAACGGUGUACACUUGGUGUGCGAGGAAUUGUCCCUUUGCGCGCCGCAGCUAACGCGUUAAGUGUACCGCCUGGGGAGUACGGUCGCAAGACUAAAACUCAAAGGAAUUGACGGGGACCCGCACAAGCGGUGGAGCAUGUGGCUUAAUUCGAUGCAACACGAAGAACCUUACCUGGACUUGACAUGCAAGUGGUAGAACCCUGAAAGGGGGACGACCGUAGCAAUACGGAGCUUGCACAGGUGCUGCAUGGCUGUCAUCAGCUCGUGCCGUGAGGUGUUGGGUUAAGUCCCGCAACGAGCGCAACCCCUGUGGUUAGUUGCCCUUAUUCAGUUAGGCACUCUAGCCAGACUGCCUGUGAUAAGCAGGAGGAAGGUGGGGAUGACGUCAAGUCAGUAUGGUCCUUAUGUCCAGGGCUGCACACGUGCUACAAUGACCGGCACAGAAGGAAGCGAAACCGCGAGGUGGAGCUAAUCUCC